CGAUGUGAGUUUAUCUCAGGGCUUCCCAGGUUGAUAUUGAAAGUUUUUCUACAGGGGUUAGUCCGACAAAAUACACAAAUAUCUACUCAAGCAGUUUUUAGUUCAAUAACCAAACUAGACUCCAUGUCUAAUCAGAUUAAGGAAGGCUGUUUAACCUAAGCACCAUGCUUAAUUUAAAAGCCAAUGGAAGUAUGGCGAGUACUUCCAAACCAACACUUGCUAGUAAAUCG
Molecule: long non-coding RNA, 230 nt
Filed under: Sorghum bicolor (sorghum)
Lineage: Eukaryota; Viridiplantae; Streptophyta; Magnoliopsida; Poales; Poaceae
Description: long non-coding RNA (SBIC_LNC004809)
Source: RNAcentral